This 25-nucleotide non-coding RNA is filed under the name Cricetulus griseus (Chinese hamster). The record is from RNAcentral. Lineage: Eukaryota; Metazoa; Chordata; Mammalia; Rodentia; Cricetidae.
UUUCCUUGUUUGGUCUUUUGAUUCC